UAUUUAAAUAUAACGACUACAAUUGUAUUUUGGUACUUUUUUAUUUGAAUUUUUAUUGGGUAGCGAAGCAUCCAGGGUUGUUCUAGUAACAUAUUAAACCAAUGAUCGCCAAUAUAACCUGAUUUUAAAUAGAAAAUUUCCUGAAAGCUUGUCUAACAGAAUUGUAGAAGAUUUUGUAUGUCGAAGAUAUCUGGGGUCUACAUAAAACAUAAAAUUGAUUUCAACAGACAGACAGGUGAACAUGGCUUAAUUUAAAAUUUUUCCAAAUAUAGUAUAGAUGGAAAAUACAAACAGAAUGACAGACUUAUAAAUACACUUCUUACGAAAGUGAAGGGUAUAACUAACAUAACAUUGCAUUGUUUUCUGAUGGGAGCCUACACGUUAAAGUAAUCUUCUAAAGCGGUCUUAUAUAAGGAGUACUCAUAACAUAAGGAGAUUCUCAUAAAAUUUUAUCGUUUCUUAAAAUGCUAGGGAUCAUUAUGGACAGAUCCUUAUAAAAUUUUGCUUAUGUUGUCCUUUUCAAGUACUUUACAAUUGAUGUUUUAUAUUUAUUGAAAUAAAUUGGCUGGAGAGUCUGACGUAGGCGUAAUAUCUUAUGUAUGUUUAUAUGUAUAUUUUUAUUAUCGAAUGAUAUAAGAAUGAAAGGAAAAGAAGCAUGGACUUUAAUUGGUGUAAUACAGUUUUAUGUCUAAUGCUAUUUCGGUGAUAAUAUCAACA
This 717-nucleotide long non-coding RNA is filed under the name Lucilia cuprina (Australian sheep blowfly). RNAcentral's name for it is "uncharacterized LOC124419156, transcript variant X2". Lineage: Eukaryota; Metazoa; Arthropoda; Insecta; Diptera; Calliphoridae. The record is from RNAcentral.